AUCGAACGCUGGCGGCAUGCCUAACACAUGCAAGUCGAACGAAACAUUCGGGCUUAGUGGCGCAUGGGUGCGUAACGCGUGGGAUACUGCCCAUAAGUUUGGAAUAACUCCCCGAAAGGGGUGCUAAAACCGGAUAAUAUCCCCCGUCCAAAGAUUUGUCGCAUUUGGAUGGGCCCGCGAUGGCUUGGCUAGUUGGUAGGGUAAAAGCCUCUCACGGCGACGAUGCAUAACUGGGCUGAGAGGAGGAGCAGCCACACUGGGACUGAGACACGGCCCAGAAUCCUGCGGGAUGGGGCAGUGGGUAAUAUUGGACUAUGGGGUAAAGCCUGAUCCAGCACUGCCUCGUGAGUGAUGAAGGCCUUAGGGUUGUAAAGCACGUUUAUCCGGGAUUAUAAUGACAGUACCGGGAGAAUAAGCACCGGCUAACUCCGUG
RNAcentral lists this ribosomal RNA (433 nucleotides) under uncultured bacterium. Its description in RNAcentral is "partial 16S ribosomal RNA". It matches the Rfam family "Bacterial small subunit ribosomal RNA", at positions 30 to 507 of the family's 1533-position model. The record is from RNAcentral.